Molecule: long non-coding RNA, 632 nt
Organism: Astatotilapia calliptera (eastern happy)
Lineage: Eukaryota; Metazoa; Chordata; Actinopteri; Cichliformes; Cichlidae
Source: Ensembl
GAACCUAAGCACAAAGAAUAGAGCAGGUUACACAACAAAGGGAAAUUACGCAUAAAAGUGGCUCAACAAGAUUAUAUCAGAUUAUCGUCCACUGAAAGGACUUUUCUAUUUGAUUUAUUUAUAUAACGGGGACGAUACAUGUCGUCUGCUUAUCCCAGCUGACUUAAUGAUGGACCCUGCAGUACUGACCUAUUCAGUGGAUGAAUAAUAGCAACUCUUUUUACGAGGAUGAAAGUCGAGGGAGCACUUAACACUUCAGGAACAACAAGGCACAAGCCUGCCAUGAACUGGAAACUGCUGGAACACCAGCGUCACCGUGGGUGCCCAAAGUGGUCUUUUGUUGGGGCAAUUUUUUUUUUAAUUAAUUUUUUUUUUAAAUUUGUGUGUGCGUGCAGAGUCCUGUCUGUGCCCCUCAAGAAUAACAUUUAACUAUUAAUCACAGUUUUACUAAAUAAAAGGAUCUGUCUUGCAUCAGUCACAUGAUGACCAUUAACCAAUGAUCGCCCUUGACGGCAGAACGUGCUGGUUAUGAGCUGGGAACAAGGUCAAAAAGACGUACAGGUGCAUUUUCUGCUGUGUGCAACAGCGCGACAAACAUGAUCUGUCAUUUUAUUAACUGCACAAGUGCUGCU